GGAGGUAUAGCCCAGUUGGUUAGAGCGCUACCUUGACAUGGUAGAGGCCAUAAGUUCGAGCCUUAUUAUCUCCACCA
This 77-nucleotide transfer RNA is filed under the name Clostridia bacterium. RNAcentral describes it as "tRNA-Val". It matches the Rfam family "tRNA". From Rfam's summary of the family: Transfer RNA (tRNA) molecules are approximately 80 nucleotides in length. The record is from RNAcentral. Lineage: Bacteria; Bacillati; Bacillota; Clostridia.